This 522-nucleotide ribosomal RNA is filed under the name Triticum aestivum (bread wheat). RNAcentral describes it as "partial small subunit ribosomal RNA". The record is from RNAcentral. Lineage: Eukaryota; Viridiplantae; Streptophyta; Magnoliopsida; Poales; Poaceae.
AUGGAGCUUUUACAUUUUAUGUACAGUGGCAAGUUCACAUCAACUGAGCCCACUCUGUUGGUUGAUAUCCUGAUGGCUGCUGACAAAUUUGAGGUUGUCUCUUGCAUGAAGCUUUGCGGUCAGCAGCUCAUAGACCUGCCUAUGACCCCAGAAUUGGCAGUGAGGUGCCUAGAUCUCCCAUGUUCCAUUUCAGUUGCAACUGACCUGAUAGAGGCAGCCAAGAAAUUCCUUGCAAACAGAUACAAGAAUUUCCUGUCAACAAAGUUUCAGGAUGAACUUAUGAGAAUCCCUCUCCCUGGGAUUGUGGCCAUCUUAUCAAGGAAUCACCCUGGUGUUGCAUCUGAAGAAUCCGUCUAUGACUUCGUUCUUAGGUGGGCCCACUUCCAGUACCCAAAUAUAGAAAGAAGACACAAGAUUUUGAGUUCAAGUUUACUUCCGCUGGUGCCACUAGUGCGUAAUAUGACCAAUGCCAUCCUAAUUGAUCAGCCUUCUUGUAUAAUGAACUUUACCCGUCAGGAUUGA